Molecule: small RNA, 87 nt
Organism: Lentibacillus amyloliquefaciens
Lineage: Bacteria; Bacillati; Bacillota; Bacilli; Caryophanales; Bacillaceae
Rfam family: BsrC
About the family: The 301 nucleotide sequence from Kouji Nakamura has been trimmed to a highly conserved ~85 nucleotide long core to form this family.
Source: Rfam
UAAACUUAAGCAACGUCAGCCCUUCCUGCUCUGACGUCCUUGCGACCCCGAAGCCGCGCCAGUGAGAAUAAGCAUCUUCAAAAACGA